This 345-nucleotide unclassified non-coding RNA is filed under the name soil metagenome. RNAcentral describes it as "partial contains 5.8S ribosomal RNA, internal transcribed spacer 2, and large subunit ribosomal RNA". The stretch from base 1 to 120 matches the Rfam family "5.8S ribosomal RNA", at positions 35 to 154 of the family's 154-position model. The record is from RNAcentral.
GAUGAAGAACGCAGUGAAAUGCGAUACGUAAUGUGAAUUGCAGAAUUCAGUGAAUCAUCGAGUCUUUGAACGCACAUUGCGCCCCCUGGUAUUCCGGGGGGCAUGCCUGUCCGAGCGUCAUUGCUGCCCUCAAGCACGGCUUGUGUGUUGGGCCUCCGUCCUCCUCCCGGGGGACGGGCCCGAAAGGCAGCGGCGGCACCGCGUCCAGUCCUCGAGCGUAUGGGGCUUCGUCACCCGCUCUUGUAGGCCCGGCCGGCGCUUGCCGACACAUCAAUCUUUUUUCCAGGUUGACCUCGGAUCAGGUAGGGAUACCCGCUGAACUUAAGCAUAUCAAUAAGCGGAGGA